This 253-nucleotide ribosomal RNA is filed under the name uncultured bacterium. RNAcentral's name for it is "partial 16S ribosomal RNA". It matches the Rfam family "Bacterial small subunit ribosomal RNA", at positions 524 to 776 of the family's 1533-position model. The record is from RNAcentral.
UACGUAGGUGGCAAGCGUUGUCCGGAUUUACUGGGCGUAAAGGGCGCGUAGGCGGUUCGUUAAGUCCUGUGUGAAAUCCCCCGGCUCAACUGGGGAACUGCACAGGAAACUAGCGGGCUUGAGUUCGGGAGAGGGAAGCGGAAUUCCGGGUGUAGCGGUGAAAUGCGUAGAUAUCCGGAUGAACACCGGUGGCGAAGGCGGCUUCCUGGACCGACACUGACGCUGAGGCGCGAAAGCUAGGGGAGCAAACGGG